CCCUUAGAUGUUCUGGGCCGCACACGCGCUACACUGAAGGAGGCAGCGUGUACUCCUGGAUCGAAAGAUUUGGGUAACCCGCGAAUCUCCUUCGUGCUAGGGAUUGAGGUUUGCAAUUAUCCUUCAUGAACGAGGAAUUCCCAGUAAGUGCAAGUCAUAAGCUUGCGCUGACUACGUCCCUGCCCUUUGUACACACCGCCCGUCGCUACUACCGAUUGAAUGAUUUAGUGAGGACUUCGGACUGGGACCGAUGCGGCUUUCGGGCUGCGUCGGUAUUCUGGAAAGAUGUCCAAACUGUNUNAUUUAANGGAAGUAAAANUCGUANCA
Molecule: ribosomal RNA, 327 nt
Filed under: uncultured eukaryote
Lineage: Eukaryota
Description: partial 18S ribosomal RNA
Rfam family: Eukaryotic small subunit ribosomal RNA
Source: RNAcentral